AUUUAUUUAUUUGGAUUAUGAAAUUCUUUUGAGAGAUCUUUCUUGUACUCCGCCUUUUCGACAUUAAUAAAUUAUUUGCUCCGUCUUCGCCCGUGGACGUAGGUCGUUGGCCGAACCACGUAAAUAUUGGUGUAUUCUUUCCGCUUAUCUUUUCGUUUUCUGCAUUAAGUUAUUUUCUGGAUCUAUUUUUCGCCGUUCCGAUUUUAACAAUAUCUAUAUAGUUCAGAUUAAAUUUUCACAUAAUUAAUUCUCUAAGCACUGUUAUAAGAAAGCCACCACUUAACCACCUCAAAUUCUAUGUAAACUUUGAAUAUUCAUCGCGAAUUCGAUCGAAUUGAGGAAAACGUCACGCUGAAAUUUUGAAAUGUGUUUUUGAAGUUGUAGGAGCGUUGGAUUGU
Molecule: long non-coding RNA, 398 nt
Filed under: Ananas comosus (pineapple)
Lineage: Eukaryota; Viridiplantae; Streptophyta; Magnoliopsida; Poales; Bromeliaceae
Description: long non-coding RNA (ACOM_LNC020506)
Source: RNAcentral